CUUACACAAUGGGUAAUUUAAUUAUCACAGACAGAGAAAUACAGUUUCAUAAAACACAUCACAGGGACCCCAAAACAUGCAAUAACCCCAUAAAAUUCACCCAGAUCCGUUCAGUACUUUGGAAGAUAUAGUUUAAUGCAGAUUCUGCAGAACAUAUACAGGCUAAAUGAAAAACAAUCACUGUAUAAUGUGUCCCCUGCUGUAUAGUCCAAAACCACUGCACGAUGUCUC
This is a non-coding RNA of Pelobates cultripes (western spadefoot toad), 231 nucleotides long. The record is from the annotation of a GenBank genome assembly. NCBI's taxonomy places the organism in Eukaryota, Metazoa, Chordata, Amphibia, Anura, Pelobatidae.